This 69-nucleotide transfer RNA is filed under the name Cryptopsaras couesii (triplewart seadevil). RNAcentral's name for it is "tRNA-Met". It matches the Rfam family "tRNA". Rfam says of the family: Transfer RNA (tRNA) molecules are approximately 80 nucleotides in length. Their secondary structure includes four short double-helical elements and three loops (D, anti-codon, and T loops). The record is from RNAcentral. Lineage: Eukaryota; Metazoa; Chordata; Actinopteri; Lophiiformes; Ceratiidae.
GGUAAGGUAAGCUAAUUAAGCUCCCGGGCCCAUGCCCCGGGAAUGUUGGUUAAAGUCCUCCCUUUACCA